This is a long non-coding RNA of Labeo rohita (rohu), 873 nucleotides long. RefSeq lists it as uncharacterized. The record is from RefSeq and is a predicted model, not a curated record. The transcript has 5 exons. NCBI's taxonomy places the organism in Eukaryota, Metazoa, Chordata, Actinopteri, Cypriniformes, Cyprinidae.
UAAAAAGUGCUGGGUUAUUUUUGUAAACACAUAGCUGGGUUAAUUGUGCUGGGUCAAAAUUCUGGGUUGUUUGAGGUACUGUAAACACACAGUUGGGUUGAUCAUGCUGGGUCAAAUGGACUUUCACCACUGAACACGCGGGUUGGGUUAUUUUAACCCAACCGGUUUGUUUAUUUUUCCACUUCAUCGAACUUUCUGGAUUCUUCACUCGUCUCCUCGUCAGGCGGUCACGAAAUUCGCAGCAAGCAGGAUUAUACGAUAUGUGAGAUUCUUGCUGGUGCAGAUGGACAGCUUUGUAAUAGAGAAGUUGAAGGAAAGGCAGCUUACCCUGGUUAAAACCUUUGAAGAUUUCACAAGACUUCAGGAAACUACAUCCAGAGGAAGACUUUUUGUAGACUGGGCUACAAUUGCAAGAUGGAAAGGUGCAUUAAGAGCUGGGUGACGACUUCAGAUGUUAAAGGGGAGAGUGCUUUCAAAGUCCUGCUCAUUCUGGAGGAAGGGUCCACAGAACCACAACCACAGAAGUCUGGAAGCCAUUCAUUGACAUACAAACCUGUGCAGACCAGCAUGGUGGAUUUGUGCCUUGGGGACGAGACAACGACAUCCCAGACCUUCACCAUUAUUACGGGCCGUGCCACUGAAGCCACUGACUUGUUGCCUGGAAAUUUCUCCAGCUUGCAGUAUAUUUUAUUGAUGGACAUAAGUCUACAUGUGAUUUUUUUUUUUUUUAAGACCAACAGUUUUUUCUGGCCGCUUGUAACAUGUUUUAAAUUGUCAUAUGUAUUGUCUGGUGGACAGUUUGUUUGGCUUAGUUUUAAUAGCACAAUGUUUGGAACGAUUUUCAUGUGGUAAUAAUUAAUUUUUGAGUGUUCU